Molecule: long non-coding RNA, 1153 nt
Filed under: Homo sapiens (human)
Lineage: Eukaryota; Metazoa; Chordata; Mammalia; Primates; Hominidae
Description: HSALNT0321809
Source: RNAcentral
AGUAUCUUUCAGAGCCACCCGGUGAAUGGAACUGAAAUGCUACAGGAGUUUGCUUUGGGAUGCUGACUGGAGAAGUUUCAAAGGAUCUGGGGACAAGGAGUGAAGAAAGGAGCAAAAGGAAGAAGACCAGAAUCUGAGACAAGGAAUUGUCCCAUGUGCUCGAAGUCUUUGAAGAGCAAAAAUCAAGGAGAGUAAGAAUGGAAGCCACUCAACUACUGCUUCAGAACAAAGUUAGCACGGGCUCCUGAGAAAUGACUAGAAGAUAUGCCUGGGAUUCAAAGGACCUCAGAGCCACCCAUAGCUAAUGUCCCUGUCAUCCAACAGAUGCUGUGGCUUUGGGAAAGAACAGCCUUUCUUGACCUCAAAUCUUUGUGUCUGAAAAAUGAGAGGGGUACCAGAUGCUACCUAAGCAGUCUUCCUACCUAAAAUGUAUGAGUAUAAGAAGAAUGAUCAAUUUUAAUCUCAAAAUACAAUUCUCACCUUUCAGUUACCAAGAUACAGCCCCCUUCCCUUAACCUGAGCUACAACAAAACAUAAGUUCAAUAGAGAAUUGAUUAAUGAGUAUAAAAAGGCAGCCCUGUGUUCUUGUGCUCAGAAUUGGUUGGCUCUGUUCAAUUCAAUGAGCAAGAAGACUGAAUCCUGUACUGUGUUUCAUUAGCAAGUACAAUAGCCCAGUUUUGAUAAAGUGACUCAAAUCACCUGAUCUCUUUUUAUUCCCCAUGUAUUAGCCAAACAUUAUUAUGAAGUAUGCUGUUGCCAGGCUACUAUUUAGAAUGUAUGUUAUAAGACAUGUCUGUAGGACUUUUGAAAUCAUCUUUCAGUUUUAUUCCCAGUAGUCACUUUCUAAGAAUUAAUUUCUCUUUUAUUAUGUGGUAAUAUUAAAGAGACAGUGUGUACAGUGUGUGUACAUAUGACUCACAGCAAAUUAAGAGUAUUGUGCCUUACUCUAUCCAGAGAAUCUCCCUGCCAAUGGUUGCUGCUCCCACCUUUUUCUCUGAGCCACAUCCUUGGCAUCUCACAGCUAGAUUACUGCAAUAGUUCCCCAACAGUCAGCCUGCCUCUCACAUUCUGAUAUGUCCUGGACUUCUUUGAUCAAUCCUGUUAAACCCCUAUGCCAGAGGGAACCCCUGCAUUAGUUUUUCUCAUGCAUUGA